Molecule: ribosomal RNA, 253 nt
Filed under: uncultured bacterium
Lineage: Bacteria
Description: partial 16S ribosomal RNA
Rfam family: Bacterial small subunit ribosomal RNA
Source: RNAcentral
UACGAAGGGGGCUAGCGUUGUUCGGAAUCACUGGGCGUAAAGGGUUCGUAGGCGGGCCAUUAAGUCAGUGGUGAAAGCUCCGAGCUUAACUCGGAAACUGCCAUUGAUACUAUUGGUCUUGAAUUCGGUCGAGGUUGGCGGAAUGUGUCGUGUAGCGGUGAAAUGCUUAGAUAUGACACAGAACACCGAUUGCGAAGGCAGCUAGCUAGACCGACAUUGACGCUGAGGAACGAAAGCGUGGGGAUCAAACAGG